Molecule: long non-coding RNA, 477 nt
Organism: Arabidopsis lyrata subsp. lyrata
Lineage: Eukaryota; Viridiplantae; Streptophyta; Magnoliopsida; Brassicales; Brassicaceae
Exons: 2
Source: RefSeq, a predicted model, not a curated record
CCAAAUUCAAGCAUAUGCAGAUCACCUAAUUGACAAACGGGAUUUGUUUCUUCACCAACUCGAUCAAGAUUCAAUUGAGAAAGACGAAGAAUUGAGGAAAAAGUCGUCGGAGUAAGGAUAAUCUGAGAAGCGAAUCGGAUUGAGAAGAGCCGCCAUCCGUUGAGAUGAUGAAGAUGCCAUCCUCCGAUCACCGACUUAAACAAUCAACGGAGGAGACGAAGAUUUGAGACUGAGAAGAUUUCUCUUUGGUUUCUCAGUCACAGAGAAAAGAGAGAGAGAGAAAAACGCGAAACAAUUUUUUUCCUUCCUCGUGUUUUACCAAGCCCCAUUCUGUGAACGACACAUGUCCGUCUCUUAGGUGAAUAAACAUUUCUUAACUAAGGAACGUUCCUUAAGUUUAACUCUCAUUUUCCAUUUAAUUUUAAUUAUAUAAUCUCUAAGAUUUAUGUUAAGAAACUACCGUUAAUGAUGCUCUAA